This 610-nucleotide ribosomal RNA is filed under the name uncultured bacterium. RNAcentral describes it as "bacterial SSU rRNA". The stretch from base 1 to 521 matches the Rfam family "Bacterial small subunit ribosomal RNA", at positions 338 to 873 of the family's 1533-position model. The record is from RNAcentral.
CCUACGGGAGGCAGCAGUGGGGAAUUUUCCGCAAUGGGCGCAAGCCUGACGGAGCAAGACCGCGUGAGGGAGGAAGGCUCUUGGGUUGUAAACCUCUUUUAUCAGGGAAGAAGAUCUGACGGUACCUGAUGAAUCAGCAUCGGCUAACUCCGUGCCAGCAGCCGCGGUAAUACGGAGGAUGCAAGCGUUAUCCGGAUUUAUUGGGCGUAAAGCGUCCGCAGGUGGUUAUUCAAGUCUGCUGUUAAAGCGCGAGGCUUAACUUCGUACAGGCAGUGGAAACUGGAUGACUGGAGUAUGGUAGGGGUAGCGGGAAUUCCCAGUGUAGCGGUGAAAUGCGUAGAUAUUGGGAAGAACACCAGCGGCGAAAGCGCGCUACUGGGCCAUUACUGACACUCAUGGACGAAAGCUAGGGGAGCGAAAGGGAUUAGAUACCCCUGUAGUCCUAGCUGUAAACGAUGGGUACUAGGUGUUGACCGUAUCGACCCGGUCAGUGCCGUAGCUAACGCGUUAAGUACCCCGCCUGGGGAGUAUGCNCGCAGUAGUAGUAACGUUAAAGGUAAAGUUAGUACGGCGUGAGACGUGCCGAACGGACGACGACGAGGGAGGUAGG